This 2906-nucleotide ribosomal RNA is filed under the name Salmonella enterica. Its description in RNAcentral is "23S ribosomal RNA". It matches the Rfam family "Bacterial large subunit ribosomal RNA". Lineage: Bacteria; Pseudomonadati; Pseudomonadota; Gammaproteobacteria; Enterobacterales; Enterobacteriaceae. The record is from RNAcentral.
GGUUAAGCGACUAAGCGUACACGGUGGAUGCCCUGGCAGUCAGAGGCGAUGAAGGGCGUGCUAAUCUGCGAUAAGCGCCGGUAAGGUGAUAUGAACCGUUAUAACCGGCGAUACCCGAAUGGGGAAACCCAGUGUGACUCGUCACACUAUCAUUAACUGAAUCCAUAGGUUAAUGAGGCGAACCGGGGGAACUGAAACAUCUAAGUACCCCGAGGAAAAGAAAUCAACCGAGAUUCCCCCAGUAGCGGCGAGCGAACGGGGAGGAGCCCAGAGCCUGAAUCAGCAUGUGUGUUAGUGGAAGCGUCUGGAAAGGCGCGCGAUACAGGGUGACAGCCCCGUACACAAAAGCGCAUGUGCUGUGAGCUCGAUGAGUAGGGCGGGACACGUGGUAUCCUGUCUGAAUAUGGGGGGACCAUCCUCCAAGGCUAAAUACUCCUGACUGACCGAUAGUGAACCAGUACCGUGAGGGAAAGGCGAAAAGAACCCCGGCGAGGGGAGUGAAAAAGAACCUGAAACCGUGUACGUACAAGCAGUGGGAGCACCCUUUGGGGUGUGACUGCGUACCUUUUGUAUAAUGGGUCAGCGACUUAUAUUCUGUAGCAAGGUUAACCGUAUAGGGGAGCCGCAGGGAAACCGAGUCUUAACCGGGCGUUAAGUUGCAGGGUAUAGACCCGAAACCCGGUGAUCUAGCCAUGGGCAGGUUGAAGGUUGGGUAACACUAACUGGAGGACCGAACCGACUAAUGUUGAAAAAUUAGCGGAUGACCUGUGGCUGGGGGUGAAAGGCCAAUCAAACCGGGAGAUAGCUGGUUCUCCCCGAAAGCUAUUUAGGUAGCGCCUCGUGAAUUCAUCUCCGGGGGUAGAGCACUGUUUCGGCUAGGGGGCCAUCCCGGCUUACCAACCCGAUGCAAACUGCGAAUACCGGAGAAUGUUAUCACGGGAGACACACGGCGGGUGCUAACGUCCGUCGUGAAGAGGGAAACAACCCAGACCGCCAGCUAAGGUCCCAAAGUCAUGGUUAAGUGGGAAACGAUGUGGGAAGGCCCAGACAGCCAGGAUGUUGGCUUAGAAGCAGCCAUCAUUUAAAGAAAGCGUAAUAGCUCACUGGUCGAGUCGGCCUGCGCGGAAGAUGUAACGGGGCUAAACCAUGCACCGAAGCUGCGGCAGCGACGCUGAUGCGUUGUUGGGUAGGGGAGCGUUCUGUAAGCCUGCGAAGGUGGCCUGUGAGGGUUGCUGGAGGUAUCAGAAGUGCGAAUGCUGACAUAAGUAACGAUAAAGCGGGUGAAAAGCCCGCUCGCCGGAAGACCAAGGGUUCCUGUCCAACGUUAAUCGGGGCAGGGUGAGUCGACCCCUAAGGCGAGGCCGAAAGGCGUAGUCGAUGGGAAACGGGUUAAUAUUCCCGUACUUGGUGUUACUGCGAAGGGGGGACGGAGAAGGCUAUGUUGGCCGGGCGACGGUUGUCCCGGUUUAAGCGUGUAGGUGUGUGUUCCAGGUAAAUCCGGUUCACUUUAACACUGAGGCGUGAUGACGAGGCACUACGGUGCUGAAGCAACAAAUGCCCUGCUUCCAGGAAAAGCCUCUAAGCAUCAGGUAACAUCAAAUCGUACCCCAAACCGACACAGGUGGUCAGGUAGAGAAUACCAAGGCGCUUGAGAGAACUCGGGUGAAGGAACUAGGCAAAAUGGUGCCGUAACUUCGGGAGAAGGCACGCUGACACGUAGGUGAAGUGAUUUACUCAUGGAGCUGAAGUCAGUCGAAGAUACCAGCUGGCUGCAACUGUUUAUUAAAAACACAGCACUGUGCAAACACGAAAGUGGACGUAUACGGUGUGACGCCUGCCCGGUGCCGGAAGGUUAAUUGAUGGGGUCAGCGCAAGCGAAGCUCCUGAUCGAAGCCCCGGUAAACGGCGGCCGUAACUAUAACGGUCCUAAGGUAGCGAAAUUCCUUGUCGGGUAAGUUCCGACCUGCACGAAUGGCGUAAUGAUGGCCAGGCUGUCUCCACCCGAGACUCAGUGAAAUUGAACUCGCUGUGAAGAUGCAGUGUACCCGCGGCAAGACGGAAAGACCCCGUGAACCUUUACUAUAGCUUGACACUGAACAUUGAGCCUUGAUGUGUAGGAUAGGUGGGAGGCUUUGAAGUGUGGACGCCAGUCUGCAUGGAGCCGACCUUGAAAUACCACCCUUUAAUGUUUGAUGUUCUAACGUGGACCCGUGAUCCGGGUUGCGGACAGUGUCUGGUGGGUAGUUUGACUGGGGCGGUCUCCUCCUAAAGAGUAACGGAGGAGCACGAAGGUUGGCUAAUCCUGGUCGGACAUCAGGAGGUUAGUGCAAUGGCAUAAGCCAGCUUGACUGCGAGCGUGACGGCGCGAGCAGGUGCGAAAGCAGGUCAUAGUGAUCCGGUGGUUCUGAAUGGAAGGGCCAUCGCUCAACGGAUAAAAGGUACUCCGGGGAUAACAGGCUGAUACCGCCCAAGAGUUCAUAUCGACGGCGGUGUUUGGCACCUCGAUGUCGGCUCAUCACAUCCUGGGGCUGAAGUAGGUCCCAAGGGUAUGGCUGUUCGCCAUUUAAAGUGGUACGCGAGCUGGGUUUAGAACGUCGUGAGACAGUUCGGUCCCUAUCUGCCGUGGGCGCUGGAGAACUGAGGGGGGCUGCUCCUAGUACGAGAGGACCGGAGUGGACGCAUCACUGGUGUUCGGGUUGUCAUGCCAAUGGCACUGCCCGGUAGCUAAAUGCGGAAGAGAUAAGUGCUGAAAGCAUCUAAGCACGAAACUUGCCCCGAGAUGAGUUCUCCCUGAGACUUAAAGUCUCCUGAAGGAACGUUGAAGACGACGACGUUGAUAGGCCGGGUGUGUAAGCGCAGCGAUGCGUUGAGCUAACCGGUACUAAUGAACCGUGAGGCUUAACCUU